This 504-nucleotide ribosomal RNA is filed under the name uncultured Cupriavidus sp. Its description in RNAcentral is "bacterial SSU rRNA". It matches the Rfam family "Bacterial small subunit ribosomal RNA", at positions 8 to 507 of the family's 1533-position model. Lineage: Bacteria; Pseudomonadati; Pseudomonadota; Betaproteobacteria; Burkholderiales; Burkholderiaceae. The record is from RNAcentral.
AGAGUUUGAUCCUGGCUCAGAUUGAACGCUGGCGGCAUGCCUUACACAUGCAAGUCGAACGGCAGCGCGGACUUCGGUCUGGCGGCGAGUGGCGAACGGGUGAGUAAUACAUCGGAACGUACCCUGUUGUGGGGGAUAACUAGUCGAAAGAUUAGCUAAUACCGCAUACGACCUGAGGGUGAAAGCGGGGGACCGCAAGGCCUCGCGCAGCAGGAGCGGCCGAUGUCUGAUUAGCUAGUUGGUGGGGUAAAGGCCCACCAAGGCGACGAUCAGUAGCUGGUCUGAGAGGACGAUCAGCCACACUGGGACUGAGACACGGCCCAGACUCCUACGGGAGGCAGCAGUGGGGAAUUUUGGACAAUGGGGGCAACCCUGAUCCAGCAAUGCCGCGUGUGUGAAGAAGGCCUUCGGGUUGUAAAGCACUUUUGUCCGGAAAGAAAUUGCUCUGGCUAAUACCUGGGGUAGAUGACGGUACCGGAAGAAUAAGCACCGGCUAACUACGUG